UACGUAGGGUGCAAGCGUUGUCCGGAAUUACUGGGCGUAAAGGGCGCGUAGGCGGCGCAGUUAGUCAGGCGUGAAAUUCCUGGGCUCAACCUGGGGACUGCGCUUGAUACGGCUGUGCUAGAGGAUGGAAGAGGCUCGCGGAAUUCCCAGUGUAGAGGUGAAAUUCGUAGAUAUUGGGAAGAACACCGGUGGCGAAGGCGGCGAGCUGGUCCAUUACUGACGCUGAGGCGCGACAGCGUGGGAGCAAACAGG
This 252-nucleotide ribosomal RNA is filed under the name uncultured bacterium. Its description in RNAcentral is "partial 16S ribosomal RNA". It matches the Rfam family "Bacterial small subunit ribosomal RNA", at positions 524 to 776 of the family's 1533-position model. The record is from RNAcentral.